UACAGAUACACAAGCAUUCAGACGAUUUAGUAUAUAAUAAGAGAAGAUUGGCAAAGAAAAAAACUAUAUAUUUUAUAAUUAUAGUUUAUAGUCAUUGAUUAAACUGUUCAUCCUUUUAGAUAAAAUUUGCUUUUUCUUUCAUGUAUCUUUUCUUUAAAUUAGGAGGAAGGCAUUUGGUAUUUACUCUAUACAUAAUUUCAAAAGUUUGAAUAGUUUUAAUUUCAUGAAUAAUGGAUUAGACGGGUCCCUAUAGUUAGUUUUUGUAACAAUUCUUAUUGCUUUUUUUUGCAGUAUGUACAUUUGGGGUCAUGGGGUUGCUGGAGCCUGUCCUGGCUGCUGUUGGGCAAAGGCAGGAUACAAAAUCACUGGUGUGCACACCUAGGGACACUCAACCAACGAACCCGUAGAAAAUGUCCUGACUUAUUAAAGUUCGGACGGAACCACACAUGAACUGAAGGUGCUGUUCAACUCAGAUAACUCAAAGAGAUGGAUAUCAGCCUCCCUGAUGGUUAUGGUAUGAAGAAACCACAUCCUGCUCAUCUGCUGCCUGGCACUGAAAGACUAGACACCACGUGUAGGAAGCGAAGUUUUCUGAUGUAACAUUCACACAGUUUAGCGUUGAGCGUAGCCAUCACAAGUUGGUGUGCGAAAUGGAAAAAGACAAGAAAAAAAAUGAUAUUUUUUGUUGUAAUCCAACCAGAUGAAAUGCUCCUGUGAGCAGCAAUUAAAGACAAUGCACCGCAACUUUUUUGUUUGUUAUGCGGUUCUGCUUUCCUUAUUCUGUAUCAUGCAAACAUAUCUGUAUUUACUAAAAGAGAAAUGUCUUGUCAAUGCUAAAAAAAUUGAAGUAAUUGCAGCAGUGUGGUUCCAUGUUGAGUUGUUUUUAUUUAUUUAAUAUUUUAACAGAAAUGUCUUUUGUGUCUCUGAUUUCAAAGCCAAAUUUUGUCAUAUGAAAAGAUGGGCUUUUUUUUUAAUCUGUUCACACAGUAUUCUUUUCUUUUUAACUGCAAAUAUGAACCACUUUUUGUGAGACUCGUGGCUAUUUUGUAAAGUUUUUUCAUGAGUCCAGUUAGAGAAAUGUGCUGCUUCAAUCAGAUCUUUUUACAAAAAGGUUUUCAUGUGCAAUAAAUGCUGCAAUUACAAAAAUGUACAUACUAAGUGCCAAUACGUUAUCUGCUAAAAUGUUUUCAUUUUUUUUUCCAUGUUAAUACAUUUAUUAUACUUCCUAUUUUUCUUCUGUUGGUGUGAAAUUUCAGAUACAAACUGCAGCUUAAACUCUGUGAGAAAAGGGUUUGCAGGUUUAACCACCACCUUCCUGUGAAACUUUGCUUCUACAAGCUGGUUGCACAUAGAGUAACACUUUGCAACACGUAAAAGAACUGACUGAAUACGCAAAAACAAACAACUCCUAUCCUUAUUAGUAACAAGAAAAAAAAAACAAAACAAAAAAA
This is a long non-coding RNA of Oryzias melastigma (Indian medaka), 1451 nucleotides long. RefSeq lists it as uncharacterized. NCBI's taxonomy places the organism in Eukaryota, Metazoa, Chordata, Actinopteri, Beloniformes, Adrianichthyidae. The transcript has 3 exons. The record is from RefSeq and is a predicted model, not a curated record.